AUGAACGCUGGCGGCGUGCCUAAUACAUGCAAGUCGAGCGAACAGACGAGGAGCUUGCUCCUCUGACGUUAGCGGCGGACGGGUGAGUAACACGUGGAUAACCUACCUAUAAGACUGGGAUAACUUCGGGAAACCGGAGCUAAUACCGGAUAAUAUAUUGAACCGCAUGGUUCAAUAGUGAAAGACGGUUUUGCUGUCACUUAUAGAUGGAUCCGCGCCGCAUUAGCUAGUUGGUAAGGUAACGGCUUACCAAGGCAACGAUGCGUAGCCGACCUGAGAGGGUGAUCGGCCACACUGGAAAUGAGACACGGUCCAGACUCCUACGGGAGGCAGCAGUAGGGAAUCUUCCGCAAUGGGCGAAAGCCUGACGGAGCAACGCCGCGUGAGUGAUGAAGGUCUUCGGAUCGUAAAACUCUGUUAUUAGGGAAGAACAAAUGUGUAAGUAACUAUGCACGUCUUGACGGUACCUAAUCAGAAAGCCACGGCUAACUACGUG
This 496-nucleotide ribosomal RNA is filed under the name uncultured bacterium. Its description in RNAcentral is "partial 16S ribosomal RNA". It matches the Rfam family "Bacterial small subunit ribosomal RNA", at positions 29 to 507 of the family's 1533-position model. The record is from RNAcentral.